AAUUAACGAAGAAAGUGAUUAUUUUUAAUUCAGUUGAAUUUUUUACAUAUUUUUCCAAGAUAUUUGUGAAAUAAGUUGACAAUGUCUAUCUUAAUCAUCUUUAUAUGAUUGGUUUUUGUUUGGUUUCUAAGAUUUAAAUUAAAAUAUGAAUGUAAACAUAAAAGCUUUUUGGCCAAGUGAAAAUGUGCUGGAUUCUCGUUGUUACCUGAUUAAUGGAUUGUUUGAUUUUGGAUGGUAUCAAACUUGAAUACUCUUGAAUACUUGUCUAAAGAAACAGUUUAUGGUAAAAUCCUGAAUGACCAGGUAAUGAAGCAGAAUGUGAAACAUAUGAAAUUUAAAGUGAAUUUGAAAAGAUCUCAAAUUGACCUGACCUCAGUACAAUGCUGAUGAUUAAAGAUCACCAAAGUACAAUUGGGUCGAGUUGGGUCACAAAAUAUUCAUCUAACCAAACCUUCAAAUGUUUCAAUCUUGACACUCAAUGAUCUUAAUCAAAUGGAAUCACUUUAAUUUGAAGAUUCAAACCGAAUGCUUCAGAUCUUGGAUUUCAUCAAUCACUAAAACCUUUACAUUGAUGUCUUACAGCUCGGUUAACAUUUUCCUCAAUCAUCCUGGACAUUAAAGUAAAACAAAUCAAUCCAAGAAACAUAUUGUGAUAACUGUUUUAUAAGCCAUUUACCAUCCCUUUGUAACAUUUUUAUAUCAUCGCUCAUCGCUGUUUUAUAAAUCUGUGUUUUUCCCUCAUCUCGUGUUCAAAUAUUAUGUGAUGUGCCAAAUUUUAUUCUGGUCCCAUCAUUGGCCAAUUCAUCUUUACAUGAUAUGAAAUUUGGAUUACUACCAUUAAUUACAAUACUUUGUGUUUACAUGAUUUCAACUCAUGUUGAUGCUUGCCGUGGUAAUCAAAAGUCAGUGAGUUACAUGAAACAAGGAGGCAAAGUGUACAAAGUAGUUGAGAUAUAUAAGAAUAACAGCAAGAAAAAGUGCAAGAAAAAGUGCCUACUAGCAGACGACGAUGAUGAUGAUGAUAGCAGCAAUUCAAAUCUCGAUUUUUUAAGACUCAGAGGAAAUAAGAAAACUAAGAAAACGAAGAAAAAGAUUAAACAGAGAGUCGAAGAGGAUGAUGAAGAUGACGACGACGAUGUUGAGGAGGAGGUGAAAGAAAAAACUACAAAGAAGAAAAAGAAGAGAAAAACUGAGAAAAGUGAAACAAAAAAACCAACGAAAAAGAAGAAAAAGAAAAAAAAUGUCGAGGAAAAAGAUGACGAUGAAAAAGACGACGAAAAAGAUGAUGAAGAAGCAGAUGAUGAUUGAAUGCAUUGAAAAAUUGUCAACAAUGAAUAUAGUAAAGAUGUUUCUAUCUCGUUCAAAUUUUUGUAAUUUAUCAAUAAAUAAUUUUGCUCCAAAAAUUUCUUGACUUGAAAUGGCAUUCCAUUGUAAACUAAUGGUUCUGAACUUUGAAUAAAGUAAUUAACCUUUUC
Non-coding RNA from Tetranychus urticae (two-spotted spider mite), 1475 nucleotides. Lineage: Eukaryota; Metazoa; Arthropoda; Arachnida; Trombidiformes; Tetranychidae. The record is from RefSeq and is a predicted model, not a curated record.